This is a microRNA precursor of Gallus gallus (chicken), 107 nucleotides long. Lineage: Eukaryota; Metazoa; Chordata; Aves; Galliformes; Phasianidae. The record is from Ensembl.
AGGUUUCUCUUGUUCAAUUGGCAGAAAAGGGCUGCAGCUUCAUCUGAAGUACUGGAGAGAAGCUGGAGCUGAUUUUCUGGCAAUGACAGCAUGACAGAGCAUCCGGC